RNAcentral lists this ribosomal RNA (253 nucleotides) under uncultured bacterium. RNAcentral's name for it is "partial 16S ribosomal RNA". It matches the Rfam family "Bacterial small subunit ribosomal RNA", at positions 524 to 776 of the family's 1533-position model. The record is from RNAcentral.
UACGGGGGGGGCAAGCGUUGUUCGGAAUUACUGGGCGUAAAGGGCUCGUAGGCGGCCAACUAAGUCGGAUGUGAAAUCCCCAAGCUUAACUUGGGAACUGCAUUUGAUACUGGCGUGCUUGAGGACUGGAGAGGAGACUGGAAUUUACGGUGUAGCAGUGAAAUGCGUAGAGAUCGUAAGGAAGACCAGUGGCGAAGGCGGGUCUCUGGACAGUUCCUGACACUGAGGCACGAAGGCCAGGGGAGCAAACGGG